RNAcentral lists this ribosomal RNA (411 nucleotides) under Triticum aestivum (bread wheat). RNAcentral's name for it is "partial small subunit ribosomal RNA". The record is from RNAcentral. Lineage: Eukaryota; Viridiplantae; Streptophyta; Magnoliopsida; Poales; Poaceae.
AUGAAGGAGGCGAGGACACUGCGGCGCGUUACCAUCAAAGACAUGCAACCCGAUGUUUUCAGCGCCCUACUCCAUUUCAUUUAUACAGACUCUUUGCCUGAUGGUGAUAAGAAUGCUGACAUGAUCCGGCAUUUACUAGUGGCUGCAGACAGAUAUGCCAUGGAGAGGCUCAAGCUGGUUUGCCAAAGUAUCCUUUGCCAGAAUCUGAACGUCGACACCGUGGCAACCACAUGGGCUUUGGCUGACCAGCAUAGCUGCGACAAGCUUAAGGAUGCUUGCCUUGAGUACAUCGCUUGUUCGAAUGCCAUGGAUGCUGUGGUGGAAACCCAAGGCUAUAAGAAUCUCAAAGUGACUGACCCGUCUCUCAUAGUGGAUCUGUUGGAGAGUACAAAAAAGAUUCGCAAUGCAUGA